This is a long non-coding RNA of Manis javanica (Malayan pangolin), 4646 nucleotides long. RefSeq lists it as uncharacterized. The record is from RefSeq and is a predicted model, not a curated record. NCBI's taxonomy places the organism in Eukaryota, Metazoa, Chordata, Mammalia, Pholidota, Manidae.
UAAAAAUUGCUGCAUGAAUGUCAUUUAUUGAAAUUAACAUUAUUAUGAACACAUAAUGGAAAAACGUUCCUCAGAAGAGGAAGUUAAAUGUUGACCAUGAAUAGGACAAAGCUAUCUCAAAAGAUAGAAAUGUGGGAAAUCAUGAGGUCCCAUGACAGAUCAUUCUAGAAAGAAUGGUGUUUAAAUGGGGCUGCUCUAAUUCACAAAACAUGAGGGAUUUGCAUAAUUAUGACUUCAGGAAAUAGUAUGAGAUUGGUCUUGGUCACAUAGAGAAUUCAGCACACCUGUACCUGGCUCUGCCCCCAGGUGACUCUCCUUCUGCAAGGGAAGCACCUGGCUCCUUCCACUGUUGUAGGAUGUGGCCCACUGGAUUCUCAUCAGAGGCAUUUGAAUUUGUCUCCUGUGAGACACAGAGAUGUGGUGAAAAACUUGAUUGUCUUCAUCUCGAACAUGUAGCACAGCCACUGCUAGGAAGCAGGAUCUCAACAAAUGAUCGGUCAAGAAUGAGUGAGUGAAAGAACAAAUGAGUAUGGGUCAGCCCUAUCUCCCCAUCCGUGCGUGCUUGCGUGCGUGCGUGCGUGUGUGUGUGUGUGUGUGAAGUGGAGUUUUCUAUACCCAGGAAACUUCUCCUUGGCUAGCAAGAGUGCAAAGAGUUUGAACACAAAUUUAUUGCAUUUCCUCUCCUAAAGGCCCUGUUCUUUGGUGCUUUGCCCAUGUUGCCGCCCAGGUAUUUCACAAACCUGCUGUGUGCUAACUCCGUGUCAUUCCCACUCUGCCUCUGCACACACAUCUGUCCCCUGGUGCCCUCUGAUACGUGACAAGUCACACUAACCUCACUUCCCACAUUUAUAACCACAAGGUUCUUACAGAAAAUUUCCCUUUCCCUAGCUGCCAAGAUUCAUUCAGUAACACUAGAGGGUGGGUAGCAUGAUAGUCUGAGUACAUUCUCCUGGUGUGCUGGCACUAGAGAUCUGCACCUGGAGGAAAGAAAUCCUGAAAUGUGUUUUAGCCAAGUAGAAAGCAGAUAAUGUAUCCUCCAGGCAAAUACAAGAUUACAGUAGGCCUUAAUUGGCUGGGAUUAAUAAUGUAGCUAAAUAUGAGAGAAAAUUUCAAUUAAUAGUGACUUAAUCACACAAGGUUUUAUUUUCUCAAAUAAAAGAGGUUGGGAAAUAAACAGACAUGUAGUUCUGUGAAGCUCUUUCCAGCAUUUGCUUCUGGGAAACCCUGAUCCACAGGUAUGAGAUUGCUGCCAGAGCUCCAGCCAUCAGACCCAUGUUCCAAGCAGAAGAAGACUUCCCAAAAGUUGUACACAAUACUUUCACACAUACCUCAUUGAGUAGAAUUUGGUUGUAUAUCCAUAUUCAACUACAAGGGAGACCAAAGGCUAAAGGAAAUGCAGCCUUUAUUUUGGGAAUCCAGAAUGUAGAGCCAUUUACAAAACAACUGACCUGAUCUCUUCGAAGGUGCCUGUUGUCAAUUUUAAAAAACUGAAGAGACAUAUAAGUGAGCCUUGAUUGACUAUAGAAGAUAAUUUGAAUACAGUAGGGAAAAAUGGAUGUUGACUGAAUAUUAGAUGAUAUUAGAGAAUCAGGUAAUUUCCUUAGGCGUGAUUGUAGAAUUGUGGUUUCCUAGGAGCAUGUUCUUAUUUUUAGAAGAUGCAGGCUAUAAAGUAUUUAGGAGUGAAUUGUCCUGACAUCUAACAGAAUGGUUCACCAAAAUACAGUGUAUAAAUAGGUAAAAAGAUUGAAAGCGUGACUGAAGAAACGUGGAAAAGAUAGUGAGAAUUACUGAGCCUAGGUAGAGGGGAUAUAGGUAUUUAUUAUACUCUUUCAACUUUUCGGCAUGUCUAAAUUUCUUAUAAUAAAAUUGAGGGGAGAGUAAUUCUUUCUGUGGUUUGACUGUCCCACAGCCUUUUUCACAUGGGGUUGGCUGCGUCCUGGUGAAGAGGCAUGGCCUUCCCAGGGGCACCCUGGAGCCCAUCUGUCAGUUCAAAGGGUCUGCUGGUGGGCUGAAUUCCCCCAGUUUGGCCAGGACGGAUCUCAGAGUUGGGAGCUGUGGAGAAAUAAUGUUUCUCACUUCUCUGGGGCGGGAGCUUUGAUCACUGAAACCCUAUUCUACCAACCACCUUAUUUCAGACCAAUCAGACCAGGGCAAGUUUCUAGGAAAGCUUUUGUUAAAAAGUAAUGGCACACAAUAGGAAGUCUAUCUGCUAAAAGGUGAACUUUUGAAGGAAUAGAAAAAUAAAAGGAAAAGGAACUAAGAAUAUUUUUCAGAGGUCCUGUGAGGCCCUCUACAUGCAUCAGAGACACUCACUGUGGGGUCCAAUUCUGCUGAUUCCUAGCCGUCUAGUUUGGGGAAGUCUUUCCAUCUCUCAAAACCCUAGUUUUACCUGUAAAUACUGGCAUAGUAGUACUGAUUUGCAGGACUUUUAUGAUGAUUAGAAAUAGCAAAAAGAACAUUACUAGGCAGGUAGGAUUGCUAAACACCAUCGCACUUCGUAUUUACUCCUCAUAAGAACCCUUUGAGAUGGGUACUGUCUUCCCCACUUUACACAUUGGGAAACUGAGGCACACAAAAUUUACAUGAUUGCCCACAGCGAAUAAAUACAUAAUGUGUCUGGCAUGUUGUAUGCAUGUUUGUAGAAUUUGCUGUUAGGUAACCAUUUAAUUCUCCAAACCGUUGUUUUCCAGGUGAGAAAAUGGGACCUCAGCAGUUAGGUGAAUCUCCCAAGGCCAACUCCGAAGUCCACCCUCUUCGCACCACCUGCGGUGAGUCACGGAGUCAGCAGCACACCCCUGGCUGCAAUGGUCAUCCUCCUGAUAGCAGCCCUCCUCCCCAUCCCUGGCCUUCCUCCAGCCGGUGCUCCUGGUGCCUGGGAGUUACUAGUUGCUGCCACAAGAUGGGAUGGACCAUGCACACACAUAAACUGACGACCUUAAUGCAUAAGUGAUCCACAAACCAGUUUUAAUGGACUGGCAUGACAUCAGCUCAAAUUUUGAACACUAGAGCCACCACAUAAAACAUGUAGAUUUCUGCCUUCUCUGAUCAAAUGAGAGACUGGCUGUUUCUCCUGGGUGGCAAGCCACGUGGAGCUGAAGAGCAACAUCCUCUUCCAGAGGGAACCCAUGCCUCACAUUUGCCACUGAGAGCAGAGGUGCGUGAAGCCCCCGUGCCCUGCACACUCGACUUUCCUGCCAGGAGGCAAGGAGUGAACCCCACCAAUAACCUCCUGAGCUGUCCAAGUCACGCCCUGGGUCCCUGAGGUGCAGGAGCAAACCGUCUCAGCAAUGUGUCUGUUUCCUGCUUGACCUAUAGAACACCAUUCUGAUGGGAUGUUUUCAUUCUCUGGUAUUAUUCAUGGAUAACCAGACAAAAGAUACUGGCUACAGAAUCCGAGCCAGAGCAGCCUACCAGAAGGUCAGUGGGGAAAUGGAUUUUAUCAAGACACUGGAUGUGUAUGGCUCGAUGUCCCCAACCCCUUGAAGGAAACUGCUGCAGGAAGGAACCCCAGCCCCUCUGAUAGAAAGCUGAGCCUGCCUGUAGGCCCCACUGGCAGGAAAACAGAGAGGUCCCCUGAGACAAGGGAGAAUGGUGAACCCAGGGAAAACUACACCCUUUCUGGGGCCCUUCCCUGUGACUUAGUGGAAGUCACACACACACACACACAAAUGGAUGUGGCAAUAAUUCUGGCUGCAGCCCAAAGUAGCUUGCUAAAUCCACAGUGCCUUUUUUCUUAUAUAAUAUAAGCUAUUCCCAUGAGAAAGUGGAGAAGGAAGAACAGCUUAUUCCAGGCCGGCACUUGGAAAUUCCAUUGCGGAGCAAUGUCAGAGGAAAGGGGCCCUCUCUUAGAAAGUUAGUGAGGAAGUAUAAAUUGACAAACCCUCUCUAAUGGCACUUUGACAGUAACUAUCAGCAUUUUAAGUGCAUAUAACUUUUGCCUGAGCAAUACCACAUCUAGGAGUCUAUUCUACAGAAAUCCUACUGGAAGAUCACAAAGACACACCAACCAAGACUUGCUGCAGCGCCGUCUGUGGUGUGAAACCCUGAAAAUUGCCUACACUUCUACCUGCAGGGAAAACAGCUCCUAAAGGGCUCAGAUGAUAAGACUGGACCCACCCAAAUACCUGUCUUUGAGGAGCCGCCCAUCUUAAGCCACAUAACAUGUGGUGGAACCCAGCUCUCCAACACAGAAGAAAGGCCAGUGACUCCUUUCCCAGCCCCACCGGCAACUGAAACAUGAACGUGUGACCAGGCAUGGCCACCAAGACACAGGCGGGGGCUGUGCUGUCCAACCCAAGAGCUGCUGCCACACAUGCUGCCGAGCACCGGAAGUGGGGGCCAGUCCAAACUGAGAGGUGCUGCAAGUCAAGCGCACACCAGAUUUUGAAGAUUUGGUACAAGUAAAAGAAGGGAUGAAGUCUGAGCUGCCUGAGACCUCAGCAAGGAAGAACAGGGGCAAAGGGGAUGGGUGCCAAGCCAGACUCCAUAGGGGUGAAUCCUGGCUCAGCCACUUCCUAACAAUGUAUCUUUGGGUGUCUCCACGCCAUGCUCCUUCCACCACUAGGCCCGCCUCUGUCCCAUUUCCAUUGGAGAAGACGGCUGUGAAUCCUCUAGUCCCCGCCCCAGGAGAGGACAACUCACCAAUC